GUAUCAUAACCGACACAGGUGGGUAAGUAGAGUAUACUAAGGGGCGCGAGAUAACUCUCUCUGAGGAACUCGGCAAAAUAACUCCGUAACUUCGGGAGAAGGAGUGCCUUAUUCUUAAGGUUGCAAUAACAAGAUCCAAGCAACUGUUUAUCAAAAACACAGGUCUCCGCUAAGUCGUAAGACGAUGUAUGGGGGCUGACGCCUGCCCAGUGCCAGAAGGUUAAAGAAGUCGGUUAGCAAUAGCAAAGCUGGUAACUGAAGCCCUGGUGAACGGCGGCCGUAACAAUAACGGUCCUAAGGUAGCGAAAUUCCUUGUCGGGUAAGUUCCGACCCGCACGAAAGGCGUAAUGAUUGGAUGCUGUCUCGGAGAGGGGCUCGGUGAAAUAGACUUGUCUGUGAAGACGCGGACUACCUGCACCAGGACAGAAAGACCCUAUGAAGCUUUACUGUAACUUGAAAUUGAAAUUGGACUUUAUUCGCGCAGUAUAGGUGGGAGGCGUUGAUUAUAAUCUUGUGGGAUUAUUGGAGCCAUCAGUGAGAUACCACUCUUGUAAUGUUAGAUUUCUAACUUUGAAUCAUUAUCUGGUCAAAGGACAGUUUCAGGCGGGCAGUUUGACUGGGGCGGUCGCCUCCUAAACGGUAACGGAGGCGUACAAAGGUUUCCUCUGAACGGUUAGAAAUCGUAUCUAGAGUGUAAAGGCAUAAGGAAGCUUGACUGUGAGACCUACAAGUCGAGCAGGGACGAAAGUCGGUCUUAGUGAUCUGACGGUACUGAGUGGAAAGGCCGUCACUCAACGGAUAAAAGUUACUCUAAGGAUAACAGGCUGAUCUCCCCCAAGAGUUCACAUCGACGGGGAGGUUUGGCACCUCGAUGUCGGCUCAUCGCAUCCUGGGGCGGUAGUACGUCCCAAGGGUUGGGCCGUUCGCCCAUGAAAGCGGUACGCGAGCUGGGUUCAGAACGUCGUGAGACAGUUCGGUCCAUAUCCGGUGUAGGCGCUAGAAUAUUGAGAGGAGCCUUCUUUAGUACGAGAGGACCGAGAAGGACAUACCUCUGGUGUACCAGUUAUCGUGCCAACGGUAAACGCUGGGUAGCUAUGUAUGGAGUGGAUAACCGCUGAAAGCAUCUAAGUGGGAAGCCCACCUCAAGAUAAGUAUUCUCAUCACGUAAGUGAGUAAGGUCACGGUAAGACUAACCGUUUGAUAGGCAUUAAGUGUAAGUACAGUAAUGUAUGUGCUGAGAUGUCCUAAUAGACCGAGGACUUGA
RNAcentral lists this ribosomal RNA (1264 nucleotides) under metagenome. RNAcentral's name for it is "bacterial LSU rRNA". It matches the Rfam family "Bacterial large subunit ribosomal RNA", at positions 1644 to 2925 of the family's 2925-position model. The record is from RNAcentral.